GAGCCUUAGUCCAAUAAAAUGUGAGAGGAGGGUCGGUCACAUGCCACAACAUGGCUGCCAGAGGAUUCCACCUGGAGAGGGGACAGGAGUUAGGGGGCGAGCCGGCCUGACCUGCCAAAGGCUACUGCACUAACUCAAAGUCUGGUUUCUGCUAGGCACAAGUUAAUUUCCUUAGCGGUAGCUCUUGGGCUCCAGACCCGAAGCUGGCUUCACCUUUUAAUAAAGAGGAAGGUCUAGCUGGGGAAUUCAAGGGCCCAGACUUCUUCCUUCCAGUGGCUCCACGGUGUUUCUAGAGAUCUUGUCCUGCAUUUGCUCCUCUGCACUACGCUGGAAGGGUCAAGGAAUUGCUGGGACAGUUUUUAAGGAUUUUGACCAAACCACCUUCCAAAGAGGCGUUCCCACCUGAAAGGCAGCAGUGACGGUGACAACAGUAGUAACAGUGGAACACGCGUGGCUCUCCUGACACGGUGGGCACUGUUCUAAGCACUUCCCGUGCUGUACU
Molecule: long non-coding RNA, 502 nt
Organism: Mustela erminea (ermine)
Lineage: Eukaryota; Metazoa; Chordata; Mammalia; Carnivora; Mustelidae
Exons: 3
Source: RefSeq, a predicted model, not a curated record